GAUGAACGCUGGCGGCGUGCCUAACACAUGCAAGUCGAACGGAGAUUUAACGCUGAUGAGGCUUCGGCGGAUUCUUGUUAAAUCUUAGUGGCGGACGGGUGAGUAACGCGUGGGCAACCUGCCUCAUACUGGGGGAUAACAGUUGGAAACGGCUGUUAAUACCGCAUAAGCGCACAGUAUCGCAUGAUACAGUGUGAAAAACUCCGGUGGUAUGAGAUGGGCCCGCGUCAGAUUAGCCAGUUGGCAGGGUAACGGCCUACCAAAGCAACGAUCUGUAGCCGGCCUGAGAGGGCGGACGGCCACAUUGGGACUGAGACACGGCCCAAACUCCUACGGGAGGCAGCAGUGGGGGAUAUUGCACAAUGGAGGAAACUCUGAUGCAGCGACGCCGCGUGAGUGAAGAAGUAUUUCGGUAUGUAAAGCUCUAUCAGCAGGGAAGAAAGGCUCGUAAGAGAGAUGA
Molecule: ribosomal RNA, 460 nt
Filed under: bacterium MA3009
Lineage: Bacteria
Description: bacterial SSU rRNA
Rfam family: Bacterial small subunit ribosomal RNA
Source: RNAcentral